UGGAAACUGGGAAACUUGAGUCCUUAAAAGGAAAGUGGAGUUCUGUGUGUAGCGGUGAAAUGCGUAGAGAUAUGGAGGAACACCAGUGGCGAAUGUUUCCUUAAGGAAUGUAACUGACACUGAGGCGCGAAAGCGUGGGGAGCAAACAGGAUUAGAUACCCUGGUAGUCCACGCCGUAAACGAUGAGUGCUAAGUGUUAGGGGGUUUCCGCCCCUUAGUGCUGAAGUUAACGCAUUAAGCACUCCGCCUGGUGAUUACGGCCGCAAGGCUGAAACUCAAAGGAAUUGACGGGGGCCCGCACAAGCGGUGGAGCAUGUGGUUUAAU
This 325-nucleotide ribosomal RNA is filed under the name Bacillus mycoides. RNAcentral's name for it is "bacterial SSU rRNA". It matches the Rfam family "Bacterial small subunit ribosomal RNA", at positions 627 to 950 of the family's 1533-position model. Lineage: Bacteria; Bacillati; Bacillota; Bacilli; Caryophanales; Bacillaceae. The record is from RNAcentral.